RNAcentral lists this long non-coding RNA (3250 nucleotides) under Homo sapiens (human). Its description in RNAcentral is "HSALNT0036465". The stretch from base 889 to 940 matches the Rfam family "mir-1302 microRNA precursor family". Lineage: Eukaryota; Metazoa; Chordata; Mammalia; Primates; Hominidae. The record is from RNAcentral.
AUAGCAGGUGCUCAGAAAGAUGUGUUGAACUGAGCUGAUGUAGGGUGAAUACAGACACAGAUCACACAUGAAGCCAGGUGAGCCUUGGCCCAGGCAUGCCCUCUGGGAGAGGCGGGGGAUAAAUGAGAGGAUGCUGCCCCCUCUUUUUCUAUCAAGAAAGCCUUCCUGGAGCAGAUGCAGCUUGCCUCCGUUUGGGAGCGCUCUGGACACUUCUGUCCUUCUGCUGGACCACCACAGGACACCAAGCAGGCUUCCCUGUCCUCUGUCCUCCCUCCCACCUUCUUUUGUGCUAAGUCCUCCAAUCGUCAAGGCCUGGUGUUCUAUUGGUGACCACUCUCUCUGCUGGUUAAAAAGCCCAUUCUCAGAAGGACUGUUCAGUGUGGCUGACCUUCACUCAGCAGGGUCUGUGACUCCCAGGUGUGAAGCCACUGGCGGAGUAUCCAGGGGCCGAGGGCUGAUGCAUUUCUCCUCAUCCACCUCACUCUGACCCCGGAUGCCAGUUAACCCAGGAGAGGUCCCUGAACACAACCCCGAUGCAAGCAAAGGUAAGUUCAUAAGUUCUCAAUGCCUAAGGGAUAGAACGUGGCAAAUCUGGACUCAGAGCCUAAACCAAGCAGAAAAGUAACAGUAACAAUUCUGAGGCUGGGAAGACCAGCUUGGGAAAGUUGCAAGCGCUGAAGCAUUUUCAAUUCUUAAAAUGCACCAGCACCACACUGCCCCACCCUGAGCAGAGGAAAAGAAAAUCAAUUCUUCCAUGGCAAAAACGAAAUAAAGUGCUCAGCUGGUUAAAACUGCUGUUGCAGGAAGAAGCAAGCCCUCUGAGACGGGGUUGCCAGAAAAACACAGGAUGCCCAGUUAAAUGUGGAUUGUAGAUAAACAAGAAAACAAUCUUUAGUAUAAGUAUGUCCCCUGAAAUACUGGGGACAUACUUAUACUAAAAAUUAUUGCUUACUUAGCUGAACUUCAAAUAUAAUUGGGCCUCCUCUACUUUGCCUGGCAACCCUGCUCUGACAGGUAGAGGCCACUGCUGAAUCUCUGCUGUGUGUUCUGUUCACAGGUGGUGGACAAUACGGAGGAGGAUGAAGAGGCAUGGUCCACCACAACAGGUUGCCCAGAGAGGCUGUAGAGAGUUUAAAAGGAAGGAGUGAGAGGGAUCACCAGACCAUGAAGUAGGUACAAAGGUAUUCCUGUCCAAAAUACCAAAGACUUGGGAACAGCAUAAAUGUUUCACAUCAGGAAAAUGGUUUGAAGUGAUGGUAUGUUUACAUGAUGGAAUAUCAGGCAGACACUAGAUAGUAUGUUUGGGAGGAAACUUCAACAACUUUGAAAACAAAAUGCCCACCUUCUCUGUCUCUGAAGGGCCCUGAGCUCCCUGGACCCACACAGUUGGACGAUGAGGGCUUUUAUCCUAUAGUUAACUCCUGAAGAUGAAUCCAGGCCUUUAAAGUUGGCCCCUGCAGGUUCACAUCUCAGUUCUGUGGCUUCCUAGCUGUGCCAUCUUCGAAAAGUUAUCUUUCUGUGCCUCAAUUGUCCCAUCUCUAAAUGGGGCCAAUAUGGGCCAAUCUCAUAGGGUUCCUGUGAGGAUCAGGAUGUGAUAAACACUCAGGACAAUGCCCGGGACAUGGUAAUAGCUUGGUAAGCAUCAGCUCGGUGUCCAUUAGCUGUGAUUUCUCCCAUUUCCCACAAGAAGGCUGAAGGACAAAACCGUGGAGAAAGUACAAGCAUACCUGGGAGAUACCGAGGGUUCAGAUCCAGACCACCACAAUCAAGCAUGGAAAUUAAGGCUCAAGAAGGUGACUUGCCCAAGACUUCAUAGCCCACAACUGCUGGAGGUGGGAUUUGAACUCGUCUGCGAGGUUCGAAAUCACCCCAGCCCAGUGCCUGCUCCUGACAGAGACUCAGCAAGUGCAGCUCUGCGUGUUUCCUCCAUCACAGAGGCCUGCUUAGGGGAAAAAUCUUGCUGAAGAAAAGUGGCCGAUGGUUUCGAGAGAAGAGACGCUUAUUCAUGUAAUUCUCAAGAAUCCCAUCUCCGGCUUAGAAGGACACCUUUUCUGAUUUCCCAUUCAAAGGGACUGACGUACACUCAGGGGCUGAGGCAGCAGCUGUUUUUGCUGUGCACAGACUGGAGAGCGAUGUGUGAGUGAAGUCUGUGGCCACUUCUCUCCUCCCCCGAGCCUUCUGGGGUUUGGGUUUAUGACUCCAGAGGCGGAGAAGCGUGUUCCCUUUCUGUGCGGAUCCCGUCAUUGACAGAGUCUGUUUUAGAAGAGCAUUUUUAGAUGGCAGCGAACGUUCCAGACCCCAAAGCAUUCUCUUUACAGCACCGUCUAGCUUGGGUGGGGAUAGGGUGGGUUUGUGAACACGUGUGUGCGUGAGAGUGUGAGUGUGUGCAAGUGUGUGCACGUGUGUGUCAGUCCCUCUGUCUGGCUCCCACUGCUAGCCACCUCUGUCAUAUCCUGACUAUUUCGCCGGGGCAUCGUCCAGCCAUAGGAAUCUUCAGCAAACCUACAGUUCAGACGAACGCCCUCGUUUCUGCCCUGAGAAGAAAGUCCGUUGAGUCUGAGGGCUCCCGAGUCAUUCUCUCAAGGCAUUCAUUCAGUUUUGUUUCCCCUGGUGCUACCCUCUCUGAAGUCGUUAUUACUCAUUAGGUGUAUUGCACAUACAGAAAAAGUAGGUCAAGGAUUAAAAAAAAAAAGAAAAAACAUCUCUGGGAGAAGCACAAGUAUUGUGUAAAGCUAUUUUGAACUUGCGUGAGAUUUUUCAAGGGGGAAAUGUUUUGUGCAGAGACGGCUGCUGCCACAGCUGACUUACCAAUGAAUGCCCGUGUCUGAGCCUUUCAUACGCUAACCACGUGACCUUGGAAUUCCAUUUUGAAAUGAUAAUUGUGCCCAGUGGGGUGAGCAGCCUCUCAAUCCAGGUUCUAUACAAUAUAGGUCACCUCGAGGAUCCUCAGUAGAACAGGAACAAGAGAAUCCUGAGAAAUCUCUGUAAAGAAACAGAAAGAAUGAGAGAGAAAACUGUGUGUCUAACCACCGGGCCCCUGGGCCCUAUGUGCCACCCAGGUUUGGAGCAAGGCUGCGGGGCAGAUGAUGUCCAGGAGAGCCUCAGAAAGUCCGGGCUCUAGAAAAAAAUACGUUCCAGCUCACUCUGCUCUGACCCUGCAUCUGCUCUGUGCUGAAAGCUUUGUUGCUGCCAUGAAUAUAUUUAAGGGGAAUAAAAUGUGCAGUGUCAAAGCGACUGGCUUGAAGUGGGC